UACAGAGGGUGCAAGCGUUGUUCGGAAUUACUGGGCGUAAAGGGCGCGUAGGCGGCCUUCUAAGUCGAACGUGAAAUCCCCGGGCUCAACCCGGGAACUGCGUCCGAGACUGGAAGGCUCGAAUCCGGGAGAGGGAUGUGGAAUUCCAGGUGUAGCGGUGAAAUGCGUAGAUAUCUGGAGGAACACCGGUGGCGAAGGCGGCAUUCUGGACCGGUAUUGACGCUGAGGAGCGAAAGCCAGGGGAGCAAACGGG
This 253-nucleotide ribosomal RNA is filed under the name uncultured bacterium. RNAcentral's name for it is "partial 16S ribosomal RNA". It matches the Rfam family "Bacterial small subunit ribosomal RNA", at positions 524 to 776 of the family's 1533-position model. The record is from RNAcentral.